Small nucleolar RNA from Octodon degus (degu), 218 nucleotides. Its record names the gene U3. It matches the Rfam family "Small nucleolar RNA U3". Rfam says of the family: Small nucleolar RNAs (snoRNAs) are involved in the processing and modification of rRNA in the nucleolus. NCBI's taxonomy places the organism in Eukaryota, Metazoa, Chordata, Mammalia, Rodentia, Octodontidae. The record is from Ensembl.
AAGACUGUACUUCCAGGGAUCAAUUCUAUAGUAUGUUACUAGAAAAGUUUCUCUGAUUGUGUAGAGUACCAGAAACCAUGAGAAGGAGGCAUACUGUUCCUUCCUCAGUGUGAAGCCAGCUCUCAACAUUGCUUUGCUGCAACUGCUAUUUGCUGUUGAUGGUCAUUCUUGCUUUCUCCUUGAAGAGAGUAACACAGAAGGACCACAGUUUGAGUGAC